RNAcentral lists this ribosomal RNA (441 nucleotides) under uncultured bacterium. Its description in RNAcentral is "bacterial SSU rRNA". It matches the Rfam family "Bacterial small subunit ribosomal RNA", at positions 338 to 795 of the family's 1533-position model. The record is from RNAcentral.
CCUACGGGGGGCUGCAGUAGGGAAUCUUCCACAAUGGACGAAAGUCUGAUGGAGCAAUGCCGCGUGCAGGAUGAAGGCCUUCGGGUUGUAAACUGCUUUUAUGGGGGAGGAAUAUGACAGUACCCCAUGAAUAAGCUUCGGCUAACUCCGUGCCAGCAGCCGCGGUCAUACGGAGGAAGCAAGCGUUAUCCGGAAUUAUUGGGCGUAAAGAGAUGCGUAGGUGGUUCACCAAGCAAAGCAUGAAAUCAUGAGGCUCAACCUCAUGACUGUGCUUUGAACUGAUGAACUUGAGCAUGAUAGAGGUAACUGGAAUUCCUUGUGUAGGAGUGAAAUCCGUAGAUAUAAGGAGGAACACCAAUGGCGAAGGCAGGUUACUGGAUCAUUACUGACACUGAGGCUCGAAAGCGUGGGGAGCGAACGGGCUUAGAUACCCCUGUAGUC